Molecule: ribosomal RNA, 108 nt
Filed under: Propithecus coquereli (Coquerel's sifaka)
Lineage: Eukaryota; Metazoa; Chordata; Mammalia; Primates; Indriidae
Source: RNAcentral
GCCUACGGCCAUACCACCCUGAACAUGCUCCAUCUCGUCUGAUCUUGGAAGCUAAGCAGGGUCGGGCCUGGUUACUAGUUGGAUGGGAAAAAUAACAGCAGCUGGGAU